AACCUUUACACUGCACGACAGUGCGAUAGGGGGACUCCGAGUGCGAGGGCAUAUAGCCCUCGCUUUUCUGUACCGUAAGGUGGUUCAGGAACAAGGACUGGGCAAGACCGGUGCCAGCCGCCGCGGUAAUACCGGCAGUCCGAGUGAUGGCCGAUAUUAUUGGGCCUAAAGCGUCCGUAGCCGGCCGGACAAGUCCGUUGGGAAAUCGACGCGCUCAACGCGUCGGCGUCCAGCGGAAACUGUCCGGCUUGGGGCCGGAAGACCUGAGGGGUACGUCCGGGGUAGGAGUGAAAUCCUGUAAUCCUGGACGGACCACCAAUGGGGAAACCACCUCAGGAAGACGGACCCGACGGUGAGGGACGAAAGCUAGGGUCUCGAACCGGAUUAGAUACCCGGGUAGUCCUAGCUGUAAACGAUGCUCGCUAGGUGUGCCGUAGGCUACGAGCCUGCGCUGCGCCCUAGGGAAGCCGAGAAGCGAGCCGCCUGGGAAGUACGUCUGCAAGGAUGAAACUUAA
RNAcentral lists this ribosomal RNA (515 nucleotides) under uncultured archaeon. RNAcentral describes it as "bacterial SSU rRNA". It matches the Rfam family "Archaeal small subunit ribosomal RNA", at positions 345 to 859 of the family's 1478-position model. The record is from RNAcentral.